This 492-nucleotide ribosomal RNA is filed under the name uncultured bacterium. RNAcentral describes it as "partial 16S ribosomal RNA". It matches the Rfam family "Bacterial small subunit ribosomal RNA", at positions 29 to 507 of the family's 1533-position model. The record is from RNAcentral.
AGCGAACGCUGGCGGCAGGCCUAACACAUGCAAGUCGAACGGCAGCACAGUAAGAGUUUGCUCUUACGGGUGGCGAGUGGCGGACGGGUGAGGAAUACAUCGGAAUCUACUUUUUCGUGGGGGACAACGUAGGGAAAAUGCUGCUAACGCCUAAAACCUCUAAAGGCGAAAAUCAGGGGUGCUUGGGGCCUUUGCCGCUCAAAUAGGUCGUUCUGGGAUUAGUUAGUUGGGGGGGUAAAGGCCGACCAAGCCGAGGAUCCGUAGCUGGUCUGACAGGAUGAUCAGCAACACUGGAACUGGGACACGGUCCAGCCUCCUACGGGAGGAAGCAGAGGGGAAUAUUGGACAAUGGGCGCAAGCCUGAUCCAGCCAUACCGCGUGGGUGAAGAAGGCCUUCGGGUUGUAAAGCCCUUUUGUUGGGAAAGAAAAGCGGCAGGUUAAUACGCCGAUGUUCUGACGGUACCCAAAGAAUAAGCACCGGCUAACUUCGUG